UCACUAGCUGAAGGUUUGACGAGCCCAAAUAAAAGCAGGGAGAUAACAGAGCAAGUUUUGUUGUGAUCACUCAAGAGACAUGGCGCUUCUAAUAUAUAGGGAGAUAAGCCUUGUUAAAGGCGGUUAUUAUUAUUAUUGUGUUCUAGAAAGGUGGGAGCAAUUGGAAUUGGAAGAGACCGAGGGGUCGAAGAUGACCAUUGGAAGCAGCCUGUUGUUACUUCUUUUUUUCUUUUCU
RNAcentral lists this long non-coding RNA (235 nucleotides) under Populus trichocarpa (black cottonwood). RNAcentral describes it as "long non-coding RNA (PTRI_LNC000173)". The record is from RNAcentral. Lineage: Eukaryota; Viridiplantae; Streptophyta; Magnoliopsida; Malpighiales; Salicaceae.